Molecule: ribosomal RNA, 493 nt
Filed under: uncultured bacterium
Lineage: Bacteria
Description: partial 16S ribosomal RNA
Rfam family: Bacterial small subunit ribosomal RNA
Source: RNAcentral
GAUUGAACGCUGGCGGCAUGCUUUACACAUGCAAGUCGAACGGUAACAGGCCUUCGGGUGCUGACGAGUGGCGAACGGGUGAGUAAUGCAUCGGAACGUACCCAGAGGUGGGGGAUAACGCAGCGAAAGCUGUGCUAAUACCGCAUGUGAUCUGAGGAUGAAAGCGGGGGACCGAGCAGCAAUGUUUGGCCUCGCGCCUUUGGAGCGGCCGAUGUCGGAUUAGCUAGUUGGUGGGGUAAAGGCCUACCAAGGCGACGAUCCGUAGCUGGUCUGAGAGGACGACCAGCCACACUGGGACUGAGACACGGCCCAGACUCCUACGGGAGGCAGCAGUGGGGAAUUUUGGACAAUGGGCGCAAGCCUGAUCCAGCAAUGCCGCGUGCGGGAAGAAGGCCUUCGGGUUGUAAACCGCUUUUGGCAGGAACGAAACGGUGUCCGCUAAUACCGGGCGCUAAUGACGGUACCUGCAGAAUAAGCACCGGCUAACUACGUG